Molecule: long non-coding RNA, 1139 nt
Organism: Eupeodes corollae
Lineage: Eukaryota; Metazoa; Arthropoda; Insecta; Diptera; Syrphidae
Exons: 3
Source: RefSeq, a predicted model, not a curated record
GAAAAAAGUUACGUUCUGAAAAUGAAGAUUUAACUUUAAAGUUGUCGAGUGCGGAAGAAAAAAUAAAAUCUUUGGAAGCUCGAGUGCAGAAGGCUGAGUUCCACUAAAGCAAUUUAGAAAGCAAGUUGCUUGAAAUUUUUAUGCCCCGGCAAAUAAAAAAUAUAAAAAUUGGUACCCUAAGGAGAUCAAAUUGGUCGGAAGAGGAUAUAGCUAGGUCUAUAACCUUAUACUCAUCUAGUUCAAGAGCGUACAAAUUACUGAAAAGAACAAAUUUUCCACUUCCCGCUGAACGAACACUUUAAACCUGGGCUCAGAAACUAGAUAUAACACCAGGAGUCAUGAAGCCUGUUUAAAAAUUAUGAAAGCGUCAAAGGAGCUGACUCCCAAUCAAAAACUAUGUGUUCUUAGUUUUGACGAAAUGGAAGUUGGUACAAACCGAAAUGACUUAGGUGGUACAAACCGAGGGCUAUACACUGAGCUUAAAGUCAGCAUGGAUACGCCAUGGUAUGAAGGGGAAAGAUUGUGAAAAAGGACAUCAUUUUAAAACUCCUUUCGUUCACAUCUGGAGAGUUGAGCAUAACUCACAAAAUUUCUCCAGGGAGCAUUAAUGUUGUCAAAGCGGAUCAACAAAAAGUGAAUCUGGCAACGAAGUUGUUUUUGCACACUGUUUGCUAAAGCUUUAUCGAGGGCAGUGGGACUUGGGCUUCUUCAAGACGAAAGCUGGCAAGAAUGCUACAACUUGCUAAAAUAUACAAACGAUUGGUUAUGAUUGGACGUUAUGAAAGUACGGUCACCAUACAGUGAUGCCAGGGAGACAGUCCAUGCUUAUGGACUUCAUUUGGAAUCACAGGACGAGAUUCUCAAUAAAAUGUCUGAUAUGGUUUGUAAUAUGCGGGUCAUAGGAAAAAAUACUAUGCUUCCAUUUCAAAAAGGUAUUGUGCAAUCUAAUACUGCCUUACAGUUGCUGUAAUAAGACAUGAAAAAUCGUUAUGACAUUAAGUUCAUAAUGACUUACCGGUUGAACCAAGAUGUUUUGGAAAACUUUCUUGGCCACAAUGAAGGUGCACUAACGGAGUAAUCUUAUCAAAUCAUGUGUUCCGUUUCUUGAUUUGCAUUUUUUAGGAAAGAUUUUUAACACA